This 253-nucleotide ribosomal RNA is filed under the name uncultured bacterium. Its description in RNAcentral is "partial 16S ribosomal RNA". It matches the Rfam family "Bacterial small subunit ribosomal RNA", at positions 524 to 776 of the family's 1533-position model. The record is from RNAcentral.
UACAGAGGUCCCAAGCGUUGUUCGGAUUCACUGGGCGUAAAGGGUGCGUAGGUGGUGAGGUAAGUCGGAUGUGAAAUCUCCGAGCUCAACUCGGAAAUGGCAUUGGAAACUACCUUGCUGGAGGGUUGGAGGGGGGACUGGAAUGCUUGGUGUAGCAGUGAAAUGCGUAGAUAUCAAGCGGAACACCAGUGGCGAAGGCGAGUCCCUGGACAACACCUGACACUGAGGCACGAAAGCUAGGGGAGCAAACAGG